UCAUCAUCAGGAUAAACUAGCUACGUUAUAUAUCAAAAGCGGUAUUUAUAUGAAGAAAUAUGAUACAAUAGUAGGUUGAUUAUUAACGAAUUAAUGAAAUAUGAUUAGUUCUUUAGAAGCUUUAAGUCCAUGAUUAAGUUCAGGUUUAUAUCUUUGAAUAGCGAGGGAUUAUUGAUAUAGUAAAAGGGACCAAUGGUUAGAUUUAUCAAUUAUUUUAGUGUUGUUGAAAACAUGUUCAGCCAUUAUACUGGUUUGAUCAGACUUUGCGUCAUCGUCGGCAUAAAGUUCUAAAAGGGCUUUAAUAUGUUGAAACUGUUCGCAAGUAGAGAGGUGUUGAUGGAUUACAGAUUCAGUGUGAUAUGAAUGUUCCUUAGUUCUGGUGUAUAAGCAGCGAUCAGUUUUGCCGAUGUACCUACUAUUACAUCCAGGGCAAGUAAAUUCAUAAACUACAGAGCUUUGAUAAGUUUUCGGGGUUUUAUCUUUGCAUGACACAAAUACGUUGCUGUUAAUGGUUUUCCAGUUAAUAAUGAAUCGGCAUUUUAAUGAGGAGAGGGGUUAUUUUGUGUAUCAACGAACGAGUUAGUCUUUCACCAAAUUUGCCAAGAUAGGGUAGCUGUAACCAGAUAUUAGGAGUUUUGUUUGAUUCAGUCAUAUUUCAUCAUAUUUAUUUUUUUUUUUUAUUAUUUUUUUUUUUAUUUAUCAUAUUUAU
Molecule: non-coding RNA, 709 nt
Organism: Paramuricea clavata
Lineage: Eukaryota; Metazoa; Cnidaria; Anthozoa; Malacalcyonacea; Plexauridae
Source: the annotation of a GenBank genome assembly